UGAUAUUUCUUCAAGCAGAUGAUUCCUGGAUACAUACGUCAUCAAUAGCUGGAAUUAUACAGGUGCUAGAUAAUUUGGUCAUUUCCUCACCCUUGCCUUUCUUCAGGGUGUUUGGGCUAUAGCUAUGAUCUCCAACUUAAACACUGAUAGUUUCACUGUUUUUUAUUCUCUCUGAUUUAAUGACUAGGAAACAACAGCAUGAAAUAGUUAAAAGUAUAGAAUACCAGGAUGCUUAAGAUUAAAAAUACCUUCGGGCUUUAUUUUUUAAAAAACUCAGUGCUAUAACAAAAUGGUAUUCUCUUAGAAAAAUUGUUUUAGUCCCAAAUGGCCAGUGCAGGUUUUCACAGUACAUACUGCAUUGUCUUCCCACCAGAAUCACAUGGUUGCUGUCAACACAAUGAGGUCCUUGUGCUUUGUCCAUGUGCUCUCUGGAUUUAAUAUAUUUCUCUCCCAACAGUGUAAUAAGUAUAAUUUACAUCACUUCCCAUUUAGUCUAUAUUCACCAAUGAACGCCUACACGGCAAACACUUGAAUGAUGUGGAUUUCAGAAAUAAAUUACAUUUUCCUUAUACAGAAACAACUUCUACAUGAUCUCUUUUCUUUAAUAUUUUUAUGGUGUUAGGUAUGUGUUUGUAUGAGAGAGAGAGAGAGAGAGAGAGAGAGAGAGAGAGCGCCAGUUAUAUAAGACCAUGAUGACAUCAGCAACACAGACUUAUGUUCACUUCAAGAUCUGCUGUGUGCUAUCUGUGGAAUGGAUUGGAUUGGAACAGAACGGAAUGAAAUGGAACGGGACAGAUCAGCAAGGCAUGGCACAGCAUGGAGUAAGCAUGUGCUUUAGAAAGCAUAUGUGUUUUAGAAAGAAUAUAAGAAAUAGUUUGAAAGCAUCUAGUUCACUACUCCAUCUCUCCUCUUCCCGUGUCCAGCUUCUCCUAAAGCAAAGCCAAGUGUGCUCAUCUCUCACACUAAGCAGUUUCUCCAUUGUGAUGCUUAAUUGUCUGUCUCACAUUGGCUGGGCCACAGUUCCCAUAUAUUUGGGUAAGCAUUAUUCUGGAUGUUUCUAUGAAAAUGUUUUUGGAUGAGGUUAACAUUAAGUAGGUGGAUUCUGAACAAAGAAGAUGAGAUUACUCUCUAUAAUGUGGGUGGUCCUCAUCAAAUGAACUGAAGGCCUAAAUAGAACAAAGACUCGCCUCUUCUAAGCAAGAAGAAAUUCUGCCAGCCCACUGCCCUUGGACUUGAACUGCAGUGCUUCCCUGAGUCUUCAGCCUGCCAGCCAACCUCAUCAAACUUUGGAUUUGUAAGCCUCUACAAUCAUAUAAGCCAAAUUUUUAAAUAAAUCUCUAUAUGUAAGUACA
Heterocephalus glaber (naked mole-rat) is the source of this 1352-nucleotide non-coding RNA. Lineage: Eukaryota; Metazoa; Chordata; Mammalia; Rodentia; Bathyergidae. The record is from RefSeq and is a predicted model, not a curated record.